CGUUCUAUGGCCGAAUUGGUAAAGGCAUCGCCGAUCACAGGCAAGGUUGCGGGUUCGAUUCCCGCUAAAACGA
Molecule: transfer RNA, 73 nt
Organism: Operophtera brumata (winter moth)
Lineage: Eukaryota; Metazoa; Arthropoda; Insecta; Lepidoptera; Geometridae
Rfam family: tRNA
About the family: Transfer RNA (tRNA) molecules are approximately 80 nucleotides in length. Their secondary structure includes four short double-helical elements and three loops (D, anti-codon, and T loops).
Source: Rfam